Molecule: non-coding RNA, 142 nt
Organism: Podarcis lilfordi (Lilford's wall lizard)
Lineage: Eukaryota; Metazoa; Chordata; Lepidosauria; Squamata; Lacertidae
Source: the annotation of a GenBank genome assembly
GGACAGUGUUUCCCAACCUUGGGUCUCCAGCUGGUUUUGGACUACAACUCCCAUCAUCCCUAGCUAGCAAUACCAUUGGUCAGGGAUGAUGGGAAUUGUAGUCCGAAAACAGCUGGGGACCCAAGGUUGGGAAACACUGCCU